This 571-nucleotide long non-coding RNA is filed under the name Anser cygnoides (Swan goose). RNAcentral describes it as "lncRNA (ENSACDG00005001557.1)". Lineage: Eukaryota; Metazoa; Chordata; Aves; Anseriformes; Anatidae. The record is from RNAcentral.
AUGGCAACUAAAUCUUCUAGAUUCAUGGUAAAUAGUAUAUAUUUGCUAUUUUUUUCCAGCUCUGAAUCACUCUAUAGCUUGAGUAGAAUGGCAUGCAGUCCCCCUUGGUGGGGAUCAAGAAGGACACACAUUCUAAAGCUGCAGGCCAAGAGGGAGCCUAGAAGAGAAGAUUGCUAGAACCAAUUCAGGUAAGAAAAUUUCUGAGGUCUAAGACUAAUUGUAGAGAAAAUAGUAUUUUUAAAGUGGGUUAUAUUGUAUCCUUGAAAAUACAGUAAAACUCAUUUUGUUUACCAUAGUUUUCUUUCUCCUUUGGUAGAUAUGUUAAAGAUUUUAGAUUUUUAUUUCCUAGCAUAAUUGGAAGGUUCUGACUGAUUUAUUAUUAUUAUUAUUUUACGUGCUUUUUGUUCUGAUUUAAAGUUUUUCAGAAACUAAAACUUUCUAUUAAAUGUUGCUGUUUUUUUAAAAUUUGAUUGAAACUGCCUUAGUUAAUAUUUAAAUAUCCUUUAUUUUAUAUUCAACUCCUAAUUCUGUGCUCAAUAAAGUAAAAAUAAUAAGAAUUUUGUAUUGAUGU